RNAcentral lists this ribosomal RNA (500 nucleotides) under uncultured bacterium. Its description in RNAcentral is "partial 16S ribosomal RNA". It matches the Rfam family "Bacterial small subunit ribosomal RNA", at positions 30 to 523 of the family's 1533-position model. The record is from RNAcentral.
AUUGAACGCUGGCGGCAUGCCUUACACAUGCAAGUCGAACGGCAGCACGGGAGCAAUCCUGGUGGCGAGUGGCGAACGGGUGAGUAAUGUAUCGGAACGUGCCCAUUCGUGGGGGAUAACGUAGCGAAAGCUACGCUAAUACCGCAUACGAUCUAUGGAUGAAAGCGGAGGAUCGCAAGACCUCGCGCGAUUGGAGCGGCCGAUAUCAGAUUAGGUAGUUGGUGGGGUAAAGGCUCACCAAGCCGACGAUCUGUAGCUGGUCUGAGUGGACGAGCGGCCACACUGGGACUGGGACACGGCCCAGACUCCUACGGGAGGCAGCAGUGGGGAAUUUUGGACAAUGGGCGCAAGCCUGAUCCAGCAAUGCCGCGUGCAGGAUGAAGGCCUUCGGGUUGUAAACUGCUUUUGUACGGAACGAAACGGCGAGCUCUAAUACAGUUUGCUAAUGACGGUACCGUAAGAAUAAGCACCGGCUAACUACGUGCCAGCAGCCGCAGUAA